Molecule: ribosomal RNA, 766 nt
Filed under: Staphylococcus epidermidis
Lineage: Bacteria; Bacillati; Bacillota; Bacilli; Caryophanales; Staphylococcaceae
Description: bacterial SSU rRNA
Rfam family: Bacterial small subunit ribosomal RNA
Source: RNAcentral
GAUGAACGCUGGCGGCGUGCCUAAUACAUGCAAGUCGAGCGAACAGAUGAGGAGCUUGCUCCUCUGACGUUAGCGGCGGACGGGUGAGUAACACGUGGAUAACCUACCUAUAAGACUGGGAUAACUUCGGGAAACCGGAGCUAAUACCGGAUAAUAUAUUGAACCGCAUGGUUCAAUAGUGAAAGACGGUUUUGCUGUCACUUAUAGAUGGAUCCGCGCCGCAUUAGCUAGUUGGUAAGGUAACGGCUUACCAAGGCAACGAUGCGUAGCCGACCUGAGAGGGUGAUCGGCCACACUGGAACUGAGACACGGUCCAGACUCCUACGGGAGGCAGCAGUAGGGAAUCUUCCGCAAUGGGCGAAAGCCUGACGGAGCAACGCCGCGUGAGUGAUGAAGGUCUUCGGAUCGUAAAACUCUGUUAUUAGGGAAGAACAAAUGUGUAAGUAACUAUGCACGUCUUGACGGUACCUAAUCAGAAAGCCACGGCUAACUACGUGCCAGCAGCCGCGGUAAUACGUAGGUGGCAAGCGUUAUCCGGAAUUAUUGGGCGUAAAGCGCGCGUAGGCGGUUUUUUAAGUCUGAUGUGAAAGCCCACGGCUCAACCGUGGAGGGUCAUUGGAAACUGGAAAACUUGAGUGCAGAAGAGGAAAGUGGAAUUCCAUGUGUAGCGGUGAAAUGCGCAGAGAUAUGGAGGAACACCAGUGGCGAAGGCGACUUUCUGGUCUGUAACUGACGCUGAUGUGCGAAAGCGUGGGGAUCAAACAGG